UGCACAGACGGUAGAGAUUCCGUCACCACCAAAAGAGUUAAGCACAGGGACACAUUUGAAGUCUCAGAGCCGGGUGUUGGUUCCGGUAGAGAUCGAGGGAAGUUAGUACCGAAGUCUGAGAUGGAAGAUGGCGAGAAAAGCUGUGUGUAUUUCUGAGGUGCCCGUACCGCAAACCGACACAGGUAGGUAGGAAGAAGAUUCUAAGGCCAACGGGAGAAGGGUUGUUAAGGAACUCGGCAAAUUGACCCCGUAACUUCGGGAGAAGGGGUGCUCCAGAGAUGGAGCCGCAGAGAAUCGGCCCAAGCAACUGUUUACCAAAAACACAGGUUUGUGCUAAAUCGAAAGAUGACGUAUACGAGCUGACGCCUGCCCGGUGCUGGAAGGUUAAGAGGAGAUGUGCAAGCAUUGAAUCGAAGCCCCAGUGAACGGCGGCCGUAACUAUAACGGUCCUAAGGUAGCGAAAUUCCUUGUCAGGUAAGUUCUGACCCGCAUGAAAGGCGUAAUGAUUUGGGCACUGUCUCAACAGCCCGCCCGGCGAAAUUGUAGUACCGGUGAAGAUGCCGGUUACCCGCGACAAGACGGAAAGACCCCAUGGAGCUUUACUGUAGCCUAAUAUUGGGUUUCGAUGUUGCAUGCACAGGAUAGAUGGGACUCUGGGAAACCAAGGCUUUGGCUUUGGCGGAGAGGCCGUUGGGAUACCAUCCUUGCGAUAUUGGAAUUCUAACCUGCGGCUCUGAAUCGAGUCGGGGGACAUUGUUAGGUGGGCAGUUUGACUGGGGCGGUCGCCUCCUAAAGAGUAACGGAGGCGUUCAAAGGUUCGCUCAGCUUGAACGGAAAUCAAGCAAAAGAGUGCAAACGCAGAAGCGAGCCUAACUGCGAGACUGACGGGUCGAGCAGUAACGAAAGUUGGAGUUAGUGAUCCGGUGGUAUGUGAGUGGAAAUGCCAUCGCUCAACGGAUAAAAGUUACCCUGGGGAUAACAGGCUGAUCUCCCCCAAGAGUCCACAUCGACGGGGAGGUUUGGCACCUCGAUGUCGGCUCAUCGCAUCCUGGGGCUGUAUUCGGUCCCAAGGGUUUGGCUGUUCGCCAAUUAAAGCGGUACGCGAGCUGGGUUCAGAACGUCGUGAGACAGUUCGGUCCCUAUCUGUCGUGGGCGCAGGAUAUUUGAUGGGAGCUGUCCCUAGUACGAGAGGACCGGGACGGACGUACCUCUGGCGCACCAGUUGUUCCGCCAGGAGCAUAGCUGGGCAACUACGUACGGAUCGGAUAAACGCUGAAAGCAUCUAAGCGUGAAGCCGACCCAAAGAUAAGAUAUCCCAUUGUUUUAAACAAGUAAGACCCCUUGAAGACUACAAGGUCGAUAGGCACGAUGUGUAAGUGGAGCGAUCCAUUCAGCAAGCGUGUACUAAUAGGUCGAGGGCUUGACCA
RNAcentral lists this ribosomal RNA (1427 nucleotides) under human gut metagenome. RNAcentral describes it as "bacterial LSU rRNA". It matches the Rfam family "Bacterial large subunit ribosomal RNA", at positions 1419 to 2925 of the family's 2925-position model. The record is from RNAcentral.